UACGUAGGGUGCGAGCGUUAAUCGGAAUUACUGGGCGUAAAGCGUGCGUAGGUGGUUCGUUGUGUCUGUGGUGAAAGCCCCGGGCUUAACCUGGGAAUGGCCAUGGAAACUGGCGAGCUGGAGUGUGGCAGAGGGGGGUGGAAUUCCACGUGUAGCAGUGAAAUGCGUAGAGAUGUGGAGGAACACCGAUGGCGAAGGCGGCAUCCUGGACCGGUAUUGACGCUGAGGCGCGAAAGCUAGGGGAGCAAACGGG
Molecule: ribosomal RNA, 253 nt
Filed under: uncultured bacterium
Lineage: Bacteria
Description: partial 16S ribosomal RNA
Rfam family: Bacterial small subunit ribosomal RNA
Source: RNAcentral